This 488-nucleotide ribosomal RNA is filed under the name uncultured Spirosoma sp. RNAcentral describes it as "bacterial SSU rRNA". It matches the Rfam family "Bacterial small subunit ribosomal RNA", at positions 8 to 507 of the family's 1533-position model. Lineage: Bacteria; Pseudomonadati; Bacteroidota; Cytophagia; Cytophagales; Cytophagaceae. The record is from RNAcentral.
AGAGUUUGAUCCUGGCUCAGGAUGAACGCUAGCGGCAGGCCUAAUACAUGCAAGUCGAACGGUCCGCAAGGACAGUGGCAAACGGGUGCGUAACGCGUAAGCAACCUGCCCCAUACCGGGGGAUAGCCUGGCGAAAGCCGGGGUAAACCCGCAUAGUCCCUUUCUGUUUCAUGACAGGCCGGGUAAACAUUUAUGGGUAUGGGAGGGGCUUGCGUCUGAUUAGUUAGUUGGCGGGGUAACGGCCCACCAAGACAGUGAUCAGUAGGGGUUCUGAGAGGAUUGGCCCCCACAUGGGUACUGAGAUACGGACCCAACUCCUACGGGAGGCAGCAGUAGGGAAUAUUGGGCAAUGGAGGCAACUCUGACCCAGCCAUGCCGCGUGCAGGAUGAAGGCGCUCAGCGUCGUAAACUGCUUUUAUCUGGGAAGAACUGUGGUCCUGCGGGAUUAUUUGACGGUACCAGAGGAAUAAGCACCGGCUAACUCCGUG